AGGGCUUGGUCCACCUGUGAACAGCGUGUGGCUCUGCCGUGUUCACAGUGGCUAAGUUCCGC
Molecule: microRNA precursor, 62 nt
Filed under: Gekko japonicus
Lineage: Eukaryota; Metazoa; Chordata; Lepidosauria; Squamata; Gekkonidae
Description: Gja-Mir-27-P3_pre stem-loop
Rfam family: mir-27 microRNA precursor family
Source: RNAcentral